GUGCAGAAUGUGAACUGCAGGACACAUGAACACCGACAAGUUGAACGCAUAUUGCACAUCGUACAACAGUGCGAUGUACACAUUUUUGAGUGCCCAUAUUCACCCAUUCAACUAUACACGCCCACGCACGAUGCGUAGUGGACGUUUGCCCGGCUAGUGACUGGUAAAACGUUCAAGACCUGUGUGCGUGGUGGGUGCCGACCGGCGGGCUUGCUUUCUCGAGUGUCUCUUCUAGCACCACCGCAGGAUGUCCAGGCAGAGCAACCCAGUCACAGGCCCCGAGGCGGCCGCGGAUUGAUCGCGGACGAACGCCCCGUAGAACCCUUCUGGCGGGCUGUUGACGGUGUGACAGUACAUAAGCCAACGAGCAACAGGGACGGAUCGCGGAGAAGCAGCGAUCGGCAAGCAGUAAGAAACACCGUAGGCCUCAAAUAAUGUGUGACUACCCCCUAAAUUUAAGCAUAUCGACAC
This 471-nucleotide ribosomal RNA is filed under the name Culicidae sp. JQQ004-101_Cx. Its description in RNAcentral is "eukaryotic LSU rRNA". The stretch from base 1 to 95 matches the Rfam family "5.8S ribosomal RNA", at positions 58 to 154 of the family's 154-position model. Lineage: Eukaryota; Metazoa; Arthropoda; Insecta; Diptera; Culicidae. The record is from RNAcentral.